Non-coding RNA from Myotis davidii, 74 nucleotides. NCBI's taxonomy places the organism in Eukaryota, Metazoa, Chordata, Mammalia, Chiroptera, Vespertilionidae. The record is from Rfam.
AGGGGUUCUCGGGUGAUGCACCCUGGACUGGGCUCCCUCCUCUCUGGUUCUGGGUGCAUUACCCAAGAACCACA